UGGGGAAUAUUGGACAAUGGGCGAAAGCCUGAUCCAGCCAUGCCGCGUGAGUGACGAAGGCCUUAGGGUUGUAAAACUCUUUCGUCGGGGACGAUAAUGACGGGUACCCGAAGAAGAAGCUCCGGCUAACUUCGUGCCAGCAGCCGCGGUAAUACGAAGGGAGCUAGCGUUGUUCGGAAUCACUGGGCGUAAAGCGCACGUAGGCGGAUAGUUAAGUCAGGGGUGAAAUCCUGGGGCUCAACCCCAGAACUGCCUUUGAUACUGGCUGUCUCGAGGUCGAGAGAGGUUGGUGGAAUUCCUAGUGUAGAGGUGAAAUUCGUAGAUAUUAGGAAGAACACCAGUGGCGAAGGCGGCCAACUGGCUCGAUACUGACGCUGAGGUGCGAAAGCGUGGGAGCAAACAGGAUUAGAUACCCGUGUAGUCCCUGAGCGGGCUGGCAAGGCGCAU
Molecule: ribosomal RNA, 447 nt
Filed under: uncultured bacterium
Lineage: Bacteria
Description: bacterial SSU rRNA
Rfam family: Bacterial small subunit ribosomal RNA
Source: RNAcentral